CUAGGGGUGGGGGAUCUCUCAGCCCGGAUUGUGAGAGGGUGCAGGCCAGGCUAGGGACCCCAUUGGUGCAUG
RNAcentral lists this microRNA precursor (72 nucleotides) under Myotis davidii. Its description in RNAcentral is "mir-9193 microRNA precursor family". It matches the Rfam family "mir-9193 microRNA precursor family". The record is from Rfam by way of RNAcentral. Lineage: Eukaryota; Metazoa; Chordata; Mammalia; Chiroptera; Vespertilionidae.